UCCAGAGGUUUCUAGUACUGUAGCACAAAAUGAACGACGCGAUGUAGCGACACGAACGGCUAACAAAUUAUGUAAACGCAUGCUUUCCUUUUAUUCGAGAUUAUAUAAAUUAGAGCUACUGACGAUGAAAUAAAAUUUUCCCUCUGACUCUUUAGGAAAUUCCAUCGAAAACGCCCAACUUGUACAGCGCCAUUUUUUACGCUUUCCAAGUGAAACUCGUAUUUUGGUCUCUUACGGAUAGAACAAAUUAUUCACCCGUUAUUAAUUUAUUUUCGUUACAACAACUAUAAUUAUUAAAUAAAAAUAAACAGCCGACAGUAUUAAAAAAUAAGCUACACAAUGCGUCAUAAUUAUGUAGUGACAACAGUAACUGCACGUCGCAUAUGUAGCUGCGAACGUGAUGAGUCAACAAGCUAGUCAAGAGCCGUCAACAAAAAAACAAAGACGACAAAUACGCUGCACUGUUGCAAGCAGCGAACAAUCUUCGAUCCUCCCCCGAUAUCUUCAACACGAAUCAGAAUAAAGGCUCUAAUUUAAUCGGUUCACAGAUUCUAAGUGAAUUUGCUACAACUGACGGGAAAACCGAAAUCGGCAGGGCAGAAAUGUAGAGUAGAAGGAUUGAUUUGCAUUUUCUAUUGUUUCCUUGCACGUGCGCAAGGGUAAGAGAACAGGAAGUGUACAUUGAUCGCAUUUCUGACCUCUAUUAUCUUGCACGACUAAUUUGCUCGUGUGAUGCAACAUGUUCUAUCAUCGAAGUAUAAAUGAUAGUGGAAAAAAUAUGCAUAGGCGAUUGCGUAGCGGUUUAUCGAAAAACCAAGCUGGCAAGUGUUAUUGCGUUGAUAUCUAGAUCUAGAACAGUUUCCGAACCUAUUCUGAAUACAGAGUCUGCAUUUCGGACGUCAUGGUAUUACGUUCAUAUUUUCCUUUGUCUAUCGGAUUCAGUUAAUCCGGUCUAUACACAAUUUACAUGAUGAACGCUUGCGAAUACGUCGUCGAAUAAGCUCUAAAUAGAAAAUAAGAGCAUAUAAAACAUUGACGAGCAAGGAGGAGCCACCCUUGUUUGUUUCUUUUCGCGCUGCAUACGCGGACGCAGCGCAAAACGAUUAUAUGUCCUCGCGUUCUCAAUUACUUGCAUCGUUGCCACAUCCGUGUGUAUCGCAGUUUGCAUAUAAAGUGUAAAAACAAUCAGAGACGCAAAUAAAUUUUGCUGCCAAUUUUACCGCUUCAAUGCAACGUACAUCCGAACACAUUUGGCAAUGAAUGUCAUGGCUAUUUUGCAACUUCCGUUUAAACAGAUUUUCUUCAUUUUCUAUGACUGUAAAGAACUGCCUCGAAAAUUGCAGUUUUUUCUGAAGUGUUUAAAUGCAACAAGAAUUUGUAAUGGCGUGAACUUCGCGUAAACUCGAAUGCGUGUGCCAAUGAAUGGCCUUGAACCAACUUAGCCGACUUGUAUGGCUCCCAACCAGGGAAGAAAUUCAACGGCUUCAAGGGACCGGCACGAGUGUACGCCCGAUGCAAUCACCUGGCUACAUUCACAAUGCCAAAUCCAAUGCAUAGCAAAGUUGUGUAGGGAAUCCUUUGAAUACUCUCUUAACUUUUUCAAUGUUUUACCCCUACCUUAACAUGCUGAAUGACAAACAGUUACGACUUCAUUAGCAUGCAUUUUGCAGUGGCAAUUGCACGUUACUAUUACAUUAAUAAUGUGUUAUGAAACAUAUUCUUCAAAGUCUUUCGAGUAAUAAUAGCGUGCGUUGUACAUAACCAUGUAUAGACAGGAAAACGUUCAACUACCUACUCGUCACCAUCUGCGAGCAUUUCAAGCCCACGAUAACACACGGGAGAAAGAAAAUAAACCCGGAUAUCCGAUGACAAGAAAGAGAAGGGAUGUGUACAUAUUGCGUUUACAGGCAUCAAUCGACAGGAGAGUUGAAUGAAUGGACCAAUAUAAAAUCGGUAUCGUACAAUAAAUAUUAAUAUAUAUAUAAUAUGGUCGCAGACGCGGCGGAUGUAGAAUCGUAAGGGUGGGAGUCGAGAGGAUAGAGAUACUCCUCGCUCCUUGGGUAUAUCGACCUUUGUGGCUCCUAGUGAACGCGCGGGAACCGUACGUAGGAAAUUUUUAAUAACGAAGUUCGCGCUAUUGUUAGCCCGCGAACGAGAAGAAAGAAUCAGCAAAUAGAUCAGCAACAGAGCAUGAGAAGAACUUAUAUGAAAAAGCGGCGAAUAGCACGCCCACGGAGUUUUACAAAAUUGCCACGUAUAAAAGUUGUGCAAAAAAUGUAGAAGAACAAUUAUUUUGGUAUCAUGUCGCAUCGAUUAAUGUUAUUUGAAAGGCCGAAGCUGGACAGAGAGUCAUUUCGCUAAAAUGUUGAUGAGACGCUGGGAAAAACAAGCAUGACAUAACCAGAGAAUGAGAAAAACAUAGAAGAAUUUAGUAGGGGCGUAAUUAAUGAGCCUGUUGUUCCUUUCACUGUUAGCAAAAAUUUGACCGAGAGUUUUACUGUCGUAAAAACAGAUGAACGGCGAAUACAUUGAGUAAGUUUGAUCUAUUUCUGAUGCUUGGAGCGUAAUAGAAAAUUUAUAGAUUUUUAAAAGAACGAUAAUAAGGAAAAGAUUAAAGCUACUUUUGAUUAUUAAAGUGUAAUUGUCACAUAAUUAUAAUAAACUGACUUUGAUCAAAUAGAAAGCUGCUUGAUAUUUUACCAAGGACGUUUUACCAAGUAACCCGCCUUUAUCAAAAUAUUAAACGAUAAGAUAACAUUCAAAAUUCUUUGAUCGCGUUAUAAGCAGUAACGUCUCCUCCAGACGCAGAUGGUAAGCGUCCAAUAGGCUUGUAAUAUGUGCGGUGCGAAACGAGCGAUCGAGGAGAGGUUGAACGAACGACAGGACGUUCAUUCAGACUAUGCGUCCGAGCGCAAUGCACUCGGCAUUUGUCCGUCCCUGAUCGUACCAAUCUAUAAUUCACCGAAUCUAAAAAUAUUUAUACACGGAGACGUAUAAGAUCCGAAUAAAGGGAUUUUCAGUGAAAUUCGCCUAGAACGGUUACUCUUCCCCGACUCAUUUUUAUCCGAAGUGCCAACGUGUCCAAUGCGUACAGCUAUGGCUAGACGGACAAUUAACCUUUCAAAAAAUAGUAGAAUCGUGUAGCAAACCGGCAAAGGCCAAGAGGAGGAAAGCGAUGAAGGACAAAAGCGAGCAAAGGAAGAAUCAGAGCGGGCCUGCGCCGUCUGACCGACACGUAUAAAUAAAGAGUUGGAUAGCUGCGGGGUUGCCAAUUCUCGGUAAUAUUGAUCCACGAAGCAGACACGGUCGCCAGCCGGGGGUCACGUACGGAAACGUGGCAAUCCAGCCCCAUUCCCAGCUGAUCGAGCUCUACUCACGAACUCACGUCUGCUCGACGGUCGGUCGGGUCUCCUUUCCCCUCUGAGGCUCAAAGAUUAUCUCGCUUCCGCACGAGCGUCCCCUCUUUCUCUCGUAACUAGCAACCGGCACUUAUCGGCCUGCUCUGAACCGCAGGCCUUUCCUUUCUUACAUUGCCGGUCGACCAUUCUGUUUCGACUUGGAGAACCAACCGAAGCGGGCAACGCUUCUUUCCACUCGUUAACUCGAACGAUAUUAUGCAAUAAAGAAAGGCACUACAUGCGAAACUCAUUGGAAUUCUUGCUUACUUUUUCAAAUAAAAUAUUAUUAAACGCAGUGUAACGCUUCCUCGCGAUAUUCCCUUGUAUUUCA
Ceratina calcarata is the source of this 3729-nucleotide long non-coding RNA. RefSeq lists it as uncharacterized. The transcript is spliced from 2 exons. NCBI's taxonomy places the organism in Eukaryota, Metazoa, Arthropoda, Insecta, Hymenoptera, Apidae. The record is from RefSeq and is a predicted model, not a curated record.